Ribosomal RNA from Lepisosteus oculatus (spotted gar), 118 nucleotides. NCBI's taxonomy places the organism in Eukaryota, Metazoa, Chordata, Actinopteri, Semionotiformes, Lepisosteidae. The record is from Rfam.
UCCAGCAGUCAUAUCACCCUGCAGCUCACCGCUGGCAGCCCAUUGAGGCUCAGCAGGUGUGAGCCUGGUCAGUACCUGGAUGGGAGACUCCUGGGAAAAAGUAAGGCUGCUGCUGGAA